CCGACGUCAAGGAGGAGG
RNAcentral lists this unclassified non-coding RNA (18 nucleotides) under Chlamydomonas reinhardtii. Its description in RNAcentral is "small RNA Cre_1085". The record is from RNAcentral. Lineage: Eukaryota; Viridiplantae; Chlorophyta; Chlorophyceae; Chlamydomonadales; Chlamydomonadaceae.